GCCGUCCUACGGGGCGCAGCAGUGGGGGAUAUUGCACAAUGGGGGAAACCCUGAUGCAGCGACACUGCGUGGGUGAAGAAGCGCUUCGGCAUGUAAAGCCCUAUCAGUGGGGAAGAAAAAGGACGGUACCCAAAGAAGAAGCACCGGCUAAAUACGUGCCAGCAGCCGCGGUAAUACGUAUGGUGCAAGCGUUAUCCGGAAUGACUGGGUGUAAAGGGAGCGUAGACGGUUGUACAUGUCUGAUGUGAAAGCCCACGGCUCAACUGUGGGAGUGCAUUGGAAACUGUAGAACUAGAGUAUCGGAG
This 305-nucleotide ribosomal RNA is filed under the name uncultured bacterium. RNAcentral's name for it is "bacterial SSU rRNA". It matches the Rfam family "Bacterial small subunit ribosomal RNA", at positions 333 to 654 of the family's 1533-position model. The record is from RNAcentral.